This 5745-nucleotide long non-coding RNA is filed under the name Lactuca sativa (garden lettuce). RNAcentral's name for it is "long non-coding RNA (LSAT_LNC003873)". Lineage: Eukaryota; Viridiplantae; Streptophyta; Magnoliopsida; Asterales; Asteraceae. The record is from RNAcentral.
AACUUUAAUCAUUGAUUUCUUCACGGCUUCAAGAUGAACUUGAUGAAUCUUCAUGAAUGACUUCAUAUCGAGCGGUUAGGCUUUUCUUCAAGAUUUGACUCUGAACGCACAUUGGGUGAAGAGGCUUGAUGUACUGAUUCUUGAAAGAUAGCGCUUUCAGCUUGAGAAUCUUUAGAGAGAACAACGGAGAGAAAUAAUCUUCUGGAUCACUUCAGCAGGUUCAUAGAUAGCAGCAAAUUGAUUGAGGAGGCUUCAAUGCAAUCUGUCACAUAAUCUUCAAGUACAGCUUCACCAUGCUUCUGGGGUUGACAGAUUGAAUGUCGAAAGAAUAAUCUUCAUUUCUUGUUCCUUCGAAUGAGAAUUCUUCGAUGCUCACAGAUGAAACCUUGGCUCAGAAUUCAAUACAGUCUCCACGAGUCUCAUCUAUGCUUGAAAUCACUUUUCAAGACAAAACAAAACUAAAAGAAAAAUUAGCACACAAAAAAAUAUUGUAGGAUUUUUGAUAUUUUCUGGAAAAAUAAAAACAGAAACAAAAAUAUUUUUGGAUUUUCUGAACAAGAAAUAACACUAUUUUUGGAUUUUUAAUUUUCUGAUUUUUGGUUGAUUUUUGAAUUAUUUUUAAUUCUCCUCCUAAAAUUUGUGCAUAAAGGAAAACUAUGAACAAAUUUAACAAAAAUAAAAUGAUAUCUAACUUUAAGAAUGAUUUGGGAUCAAAGUUUUUAGACAGCCUUUAUCCGCUUGUCGGUACCUUCCAUCUUCACGUCUUUGUCUGGUCGAUCGCCGGUAUUGUUGUCCACUUAAACACGAAAAAUUGUGACAAAAUUAGGACAUACUAUAAGUGACAAGACAAUGUGAUCCUAAGUUCCUAGAUAUUAUAUCUGAUCCUAAGUUUCUAGAUACUAUAUCUUAAGGACCAUUCAGCUGACGACGACCAGGGAUAUUGUUGUCCACCUAAAUUGAGCAGCGAGAUCUAUAGACAAUCUUUGAGUGUUCAAUUUUAAUUGUACUGGAACAUGUUUCCCGCUUCCAGAUAUGCCCCAGCCAUCAAGAACUUCCAGAGUACUCCUUACACCGGGUGAGCAGACAACCAUUCAGAGAGAGGAUAGAUUCAGAGUUCUAUUACUUAUUACUUCAGAGGGGUUGAGAAGUAGAAGGUUGCAUAUGUUGUGUACCAGGUCGGAUUAGAAGUCACGCAAAGGAGAUGACAUAUGGCUAACAGAUAAGAAGUUUUUCACAUAUAUAACAUGCAGAGAAAUAGAAUUGCAUAUGUUGUGUACCAAGUCGGAUUGGAAUUCACGCAAAGGAGACAACAUAUGACUAACAGACGGAAAGAAAGAAAAUGAUAUUCUACAGACCUAAUUUAUCGGAAUUUAUCAGUCGCCCCAUCCAACCGGAAUUAAAGACAAAAUCUGCACAUCGAGAAAAAGUUAAACCACGGUUCCAGAUAUGGGUUCAUUUAAUGUGACGAGUAGAUUCUCAUAUAUAUCUCCCUGCUCAACCUAUCCAAGCGUCGUAUUGUCAGGCUGAACGGAUCUAACUAGGUCAAGAUUUGUCAAGUCUAUAGAUUCCUUAAGUUCAUCUACACCUAGUCAAGUCCGUUAAAUUCUUCGUGCCUACCUACGCAUCAAACCAGAGAAUAGACCCUUCAACUUUGGGUACGUUACGCAGACUCAGGUUGCCCGUUAUCACUCACUUCCCAAAACAUCUCCCUCAAGCAUAAUAAAUUUUUAUUUUCUGAUUUUCUAAUUUUUAUGGAUUUUCUAAUUUUCUAAUGUUUUUGGAUCUUCUAAUUUUUUAAUGUUUUUGGAUUUUCUAAUUUUUUUUUUAUAUUUGUUAAAAUUUUCUAUUUUUUUUAUUUCUCCCCCUAAAUUUGUGCAUAGGAGAGAAACGAAACUAAAUGCCCAAAUUUAAACUAUCCUAAAACAAAAAUUUGUCUUUAAAGCGAAACAACUUAAGAAAAACUCAGGAGUAUAGAGAAGAAAACUCAAACUGUAAGUCACCGAUUGAAUUUUCAUCCGGAAGGUCUGAGAACAGCACGCGUAAUCUCAGAACAGAUCCGAAAAUUCUUCAUGCCAUUAAGCGCAAACCUCGUGAGUGAUCACUUCCGUUCUUCCCUUCCCGCAAAGGACACAUACUCUCAAACAAAAUUCCGAAUGUUGUACAGUUGAGAGAUGCCUCCUAUCAAGUGUCUGGAACAACCACUAUAAACAAACCGAAGUCUGAUGAUAUGCCUCCAUAGCUGUUCCGACACAGAGCAGGAUCAGUUGGUCUUUGGAAUCCAGUCCAUUUUGAAACUGGGUCGACCUUUGUCAUCAUUGCAUGGUACUCUCUCCCAUGACAUGUCCUGCUUAUCACAAACAGAAGAUGAAGAAAUAUUAGAGUCAUUAGUUGAUUUGGGAGAGUGAGCCUUUGGAACCCAUUUGUAGUUGGAUUUAACCCAUUUCUUUUUCGAUCUGAUGGGUGGCUCAGUACUUGCUUUGGGACUUGAUGUCGGCCAUUGAGAUGACUUUGAUUUUGGCUUCAUGGAAGCAUCUCUUGGAUUUGGCUUCUUGGCCGACAUUCCCUUCCUAACCUUGGGAGUUGAUUUCUUGGCCUUGUGGGUUUGAUUCUUGGCCUUCUGCGCGUUCUAGUCAUCAAGGUCUGAACGUGACCUUGAGGGGUUUCUUUUGAAGUAUCUCCCUCUUGGCGUGUUCUGCCACCCUUGUGCAUAGUAGGGAACGUAUGCUCGAUUAGGACAAUUUCUGACAAUGUGUCCAAGUGUUCCAUAGUGAAAGCAAGUCUUUUUCUUCACUGUGGAGUUGUUUCUUCCUGCCCCUGGUGGCGUGUCUUUUCCUUGUCUCUUGCUUUUCCCACACGCACACUUGCAACAAGAACUCCAUUGCGUUGGAAUUGGUGGCCUGUAUUUCUCAACGGCAGGUUGAUCAGAAGCAGUUGAGUUCGAAGCAACAGAUUGAGAGUUCAAGGAGAUGUUUGUUUGUUCAGUAGUAUUCUCCUUGUUCUCAUCCUCUACUACUUUACCUGCACAUAAAGUAGAAGCAUUAGUAUCUUCAACUUGAAUACAUCCUGACACAAAUCCAGCUGGUUUGCCAUAUCGAAGAUGUGCCUCCCUGUCAAUUUCGUCCUGUGUCAUAGGGAUGGAUGUGUAGUUAUGAUUGAAAGGUGGAGGAACACUAUCAUACCCUAGACCCUUGUUUUGAUUUUCUUUGAAUUUUUAUUGGGUUUCAUAUAAGGACUCGACUGUCUUACUUGACGCAGUGUAAUUUUUGAAACUAACAUCUGUUUUUCCACACUUUAUUUUCAAAGCGUCAAGUUCUUCAGUUACAGCAUCAAGUUUUUCUUAAUGUGAUCAUAAUUUUCACACUUGUUGCUGUAAUCUUCAUGUAAUUUCUGGAAAUCCUUGAUUUUUGUUUCUAAUUGAGCUUUUAACGGUUUCGGUCCUUUCCUAAGAGUAUAGCCUUCGUAUUUGAGGUCCUCAUUUUCUCUUUUUAAUAAAUCAAUUUGUUCGCAAAGAAAUUUAAUCGUAGCUUUACAAGAUGGAGUACAUGAAACUUCAUUUACCAGAAUUGAUAUGGAACUCAUUUUCUUUUUUUCUUUUUUUUUUUUAAUUUUUUUUAUAUUUUUAAUUGCCCUUUGACUUAAAAAACGAGAAAGUCAACCUUAAAAGUCAAAUUUAAAAAGUCAAACUCAAAAGUCAAACCGAAAAGCCAAAUUUGAAAAAUUAAAAGUCAAACUAGAAAGUCAAAAGGUUAAAGUCAAAGGUCAAAUUUUAAAAGUCAAAAUCAAAUUUUUAAGGUCAAAGAUAAAAAUAAAAUCAAAAAUUAAAAACAAAAAAAAUUUGGGUUGAAAAUAGAAUUUAGAAAUAAAAAAGAUUGAUUUUUAGGGUUAGAAGUGCCAAUUUUCGAAAAUAAUAACCGAGAAGGAGAAGUUAUGUUUUAAAUUUCGGAGAAGUGACACAAGGAGUAUUCUAGAUGAGAUGGUAAGGCGCUGGGGCAAUGACCUUGAGGUCCAAUGUUUGAUCCAUGGCACGUCAACUUCGCUUCCUUUUUUUUAUGAAAGGGCUGAUGUGCGAGGUUGCUGCUUGCGAGGCCGAUGAUCCGAGGCGAGGCGAGGCUGCUGCGAUGCGAGGUUGCGAUGCGAGGACGAGGACCGAACACCAGGGCCGAACACCGAGCCGUAUACUCCGAGCCGCACACACCGAGCCGUAUACUCCGAGCCGCACACCUUCAAGUGGCCGCACUCCUUCAACAGAUUCGCAAAAAAACGACGUUUUUCACCCCUUUUUGCUCCAAAACUCGAUCAACAACUCGUUUUUAUGAAAAAUGCAAAGAAGAACCCCCCCUUAAUUUUGCGAGAUCUAUCCAAAAACGCUAUUCUCUUUUCAAAAUAAGAUCAAAUAAGCUCCAGAUCUGACAAAAUUGACUGAUACAACCUUGUUUUGAUACCAAUUGUAAGUCCCAAAAACUGCUUGUGUAUCAACUAGAUCCAAUUGAUGGUGCGGAAUCCCAAUCAAUUGGAUGAUGUCAGAUCAAUAUAGAAGAGAAUGAGAAGAAGAAGAAGAAGAUGAAUCUAAUGAUGUAUUGAUGAUAUGAAUUAUGCUCCUUACAAUAGAUUCUCUCACACACACACUUCUUCUCUCUAACUUUCUCUCUCUUCUCUAGGCUUCUUCUCCUCUCUUCUCCCGUACACUCACACAUGCACUCCUCAAUUUAUAUGGACCUCCAGCCAUACACAUGUGUACAGCCGCACACCCUGUGUACGACCGUACACACAAACCACAAACACAUACAACAUUACAUAAAAAUAUAUUUUCCUAGAAAAGCAAAGUAUAAACCAUAUUUUUGACCCAACAAUCUCCCCCUUUGUUUAUAACUUUCUUUUCUAAUUGACCCAACAAGCUCCCCCUAAAAAGUAGCUGGCUUUUUCUUGUUAAUCUUCAUUGGGAGCUUGGCUUCAGCAUUAACCUUUGAUUUCUUCACAGCUUCAAGAUGAACUUGAUGAAUCUUCAUGAAUGACUUCAUCUCAAGCGGUUGGGCCUUUCUUCAAGAUUUGACUCUGAACGCACAUUGGGUGAGGAGGCUUGAUGUACAGAUUCUUGAAAGAUAGCGCUUCAGCUUGAGAAUCUACAGAGAGAACAAAUCUUCUGGAUCACUUCAGUAGGUACAAAGAUAGCAGCAGAUUGAUUGAGGAGGCUUCAAUGAAAUCUAUGACAUAAUCAUCAAGUACAACUUCACCAUGCUUCUGGGGUUGACAGACUGAAUGUCGAAAGAAUAAUCUUCAUUUUUUGCUCCUUCGAAUGUGAAUUCUUCGAUGCUCACGGACGAGGCUUUGGCUCAGAAAUCUUCAACACAAACUCCAUCAGUCUUAUCUAUACCUGAAAUCACUUUUCAAGACAAAACAAAACUAAAAGAAAACUUAGCACACAAAUGAAAAUAGAAACAAAAAAUAUUUUUGGAUUUUUGAUUUUUCUGAACAAGAAAUAAAACAGAAAUAACACUAUUUUUGGAUUUUUAAAUUUUUCUGAUUUUUCUUUGAUUUUUUUUUUUUUUUUGAAUUUUUUUGAUUUUUUUUUUAAUUUUUAAUUCUCCCCUAAUAUUUAAAUUAGAAGAAACUAUGACAAAUUUAACAAAAAUAAAAAUGAUAUCUAACUUUAAGAGAGAUUUGGGAUCAAAGUUUUUAGACAGCCUUUAUCCACUUAUCGGUACCUUUCAUAUUCACAUCUUUGUCUGGUCGAUCGUCGGUAUUGUU